UAUCUGUUUGCAUUUAACAGAGUGACUUUAAUUUCAGAACAUUGGGUUUCAAAUUAUACUAAAUAUGGCCUACAUUAUAAAUGUGUGUCUUGGUAAAAGAUCAAAUUCUUUUUAAAUGUAUAUGUUUAUGUGUAUGAGUGUUUGUGUGUAUGUGUGCACAGAGACCCCAGCCCAUGUGUGGAGAUGAGAGGACAACUUUCAGGCAUUCUAUCUUUCUACCAUGUGGGUUCCAGGUAUGACUCGGGUUGUCAGGCUUGAGGGUGUGUCCCUUCACCAGCUGUGCCAUUUCACCAGCCCCAAAAAGCAAACAUUUUAAGUUAGCUCUAAAAUUGAAUAGGCCUUUGCACAUAACUGACUUAGGUUAUUUUAGUGAACUGUCCCAUCUAGGCCAGUUGCUAGCAUCAUAGUUGUGUAUGUUAUGAGCUGUCAUGUCAUUUGUUUUGCUGUAGGGCUGAGCUGUCUGCUGCUGUCCCUGAGCAACAAAACUUAGUCUGACAGACACAGUGAGCGCAGACACUCAGCUUUCCACAGAGAAAGCCCUUCACCAUGGAUGGUGACACUUUCAACCCACGAGUCUAAUAGUGUCCAGUAGGUACAAAUUCUGUGCCAAAGCCGUUGUGCUUUCAUGAUAGAGAGCAACCUAUGCCGGAAUACUUGCUCACCUACUCAGCUCCCAAGGAGAGGUAAAAUCUUAAAGAAGAUACUUUCGUUGGGUUUAGUGCUUCUCAUGAAUCUUUGAGAAAUACUGUAUUUUCAUCCUCUCUAAGAGCCUUUUGGAAGCAACCCAAGGCUUUAGUUGGACUUUAGCAAGAAUUGAGGGGUUGCAGAUUCUGCAGUUACUGAACAGCAGCAGUGUUCCUGUUUGGAAACACCUCUCUGGUUCCGAACUUAAAAAAUAAACAAGAGCUCAGAUGUUCAAAAACUUGUUGAGGAGCGAUGAAGGAAAUAGAUGUAGUCUAGCAUGUUGCUCUCCAAAGCCAGGGUUCCAACCACUGCUGCAGCAGUAAAGUCGCAUAAUGCACUCUAGAGCAGAGCUAUCUACUAAAGCUCUGCAGGGAUGGAGGGCUUCUGCGCCAGCACUGUUCAGUAUUGACCACUGCCGUAUGUGACUGACCACUGAGCCAAGUGUGCCUCGUGUAUGUAAGGAAUGUGCUUGUUAAUCUGCUUAGCCCAUCUGGAUUUACAUUCACUCUGCAAUAGUGUUUGGCAUAGUGAGCAGUGGGAAUUGAAGCAUGAAUCUGUACUCCGGCAACCUUUUAAUUGUGUCCUGUGUAAUAGGACAUGCUUUUAUGCCUCCUGUUUAGUCAUUCAAAUGCUGCAGAGUACUUCCCUAAGAAUGGCUUUACUAUGGUAGUACUUUCUUAGAAUGGAGUUUGGUUUGCAGACAGUUGUAGUCUUUGCCAUCUUACUGACUGUUAACCUUGUAUGAACCACUUAACCCUGAUCUGUUUGUCUGGAAAGGGUAUAGAGAACAUAAGGUAUUUUGCCAAUUGUUUAGAAAUGUCACUUAUAUUGAAAUGUAUCUCCAGCUUAGACUCAAGCCAGUGAUCUUAUUAGUGAAACAACUAAGGUCUUAGGAGUCCCAGACUCUCUUAUGACACGGCUUGUAGGGUCUCCUUUACCACUUCUCACAGGAACCUCAAGCAAGCUGCGUCACAGGAAGUUUUUUCUCCACUCCUUCCCCCUAUUUUUUACAGUGCUGGCUCUCAACCCCGGUACCGUACACAAAUAAAGGGAAGAAUGAGAGAGGCAUACAGGAAGGGAGGGAGAAGAAAA
This is a long non-coding RNA of Mus musculus (house mouse), 1776 nucleotides long. RefSeq annotates it as predicted gene, 35566. The record is from RefSeq and is a predicted model, not a curated record. Lineage: Eukaryota; Metazoa; Chordata; Mammalia; Rodentia; Muridae. The transcript is spliced from 2 exons.